This 253-nucleotide ribosomal RNA is filed under the name uncultured bacterium. Its description in RNAcentral is "partial 16S ribosomal RNA". It matches the Rfam family "Bacterial small subunit ribosomal RNA", at positions 524 to 776 of the family's 1533-position model. The record is from RNAcentral.
UACGAAGGGGGCUAGCGUUGUUCGGAAUUACUGGGCGUAAAGCGCGCGUAGGCGGUAAUCUUUGUCAGAGGUGAAAGCCUGGAGCUCAACCACAGAAUUGCCUUCGAUACUGCAUGGCUUGAGACCGGAAGAGGUUAGUGGAACUGCGAGUGUAGAGGUGAAAUUCGUAGAUAUUCGCAAGAACACCAGUGGCGAAGGCGGCUGACUGGUCCGGAUCUGACGCUGAGGCGCGAAAGCGUGGGGAGCAAACAGG